GACGAACGCUGGCGGCGUGCCUAAUACAUGCAAGUAGAACGCACAGUUUAUACCGUAGCUUGCUACACCAUAAACUGUGAGUUGCGAACGGGUGAGUAACGCGUAGGUAACCUGCCUGGUAGCGGGGGAUAACUAUUGGAAACGAUAGCUAAUACCGCAUAAUAUUUAUUAUUGCAUGAUAAUUGAUUGAAAGAUGCUAUUGCAUCACUACUAGAUGGACCUGCGUUGUAUUAGCUAGUAGGUGAGGUAACGGCUCACCUAGGCGACGAUACAUAGCCGACCUGAGAGGGUGAUCGGCCACACUGGGACUGAGACACGGCCCAGACUCCUACGGGAGGCAGCAGUAGGGAAUCUUCGGCAAUGGACGAAAGUCUGACCGAGCAACGCCGCGUGAGUGAAGAAGGUUUUCGGAUCGUAAAGCUCUGUUGUAAGAGAAGAACGGGUGUGAGAGUGGAAAGUUCACACUGUGACGGUAUCUUACCAGAAAGGGACGGCUAACUACGUG
Molecule: ribosomal RNA, 505 nt
Filed under: uncultured bacterium
Lineage: Bacteria
Description: partial 16S ribosomal RNA
Rfam family: Bacterial small subunit ribosomal RNA
Source: RNAcentral